This 254-nucleotide ribosomal RNA is filed under the name uncultured bacterium. Its description in RNAcentral is "partial 16S ribosomal RNA". It matches the Rfam family "Bacterial small subunit ribosomal RNA", at positions 524 to 776 of the family's 1533-position model. The record is from RNAcentral.
UACGUAGGGCGCAAGCGUUGUCCGGAAUUAUUGGGCGUAAAGAGCUCGUAGGCGGUGUGUCACGUCGGCCGUGAAAACCUGCAGCUUAACUGUGGGCGUGCGGUCGAUACGGGCAUCACUGGAGUUCGGCAGGGGAGACUGGAAUUCCUGGUGUAGAGGUGAAAUGCGCAGAUAUCAGGAGGAACACCGGUGGCGAAGGCGGGUCUCUGGGCCGAGACUGACGCUGAGGAGCGAAAGCGUGGGGAGCAAACAGG